RNAcentral lists this ribosomal RNA (468 nucleotides) under uncultured bacterium. RNAcentral describes it as "partial 16S ribosomal RNA". It matches the Rfam family "Bacterial small subunit ribosomal RNA", at positions 28 to 507 of the family's 1533-position model. The record is from RNAcentral.
GACGAACGCUGGCGGCGUGCUUAACACAUGCAAGUCGAACGGAAAGGCUCCAGCUUGCUGGAGUACUCGAGUGGCGCACGGGUGAGUAACACGUGGGUGAUCUGCCCUGCACUUCGGGAUAAGCCUGGGAAACUGGGUCUAAUACCGGAUAGGACCGCACUUUGGUGUGUGUGGUGGAAAGGUUUUUCUGUUGUGGGAUGAGCUCGCGGCCUAUCAGUUUGUUGGUGGGGUAAUGGCCUACCAAGACGGCGACGGGUAGCCGGCCUGAGGGGGUGGACGGUCACAUUGGGCUUGAGAUACGGCCCAGACUCCUAAGGGAGGCAGCAGUGGGGAAUGUUGCACAAUGGGGGAAACCCUGAUGCAGCGACGCCGCGUGGGGGAUGAAGGCCUUCGGGUUGUAAACUCCUUUCGCUAGGGACGAAGCUUUUUGUGACGGUACCUGGAGAAGAAGCACCGGCUAACUACGUG